RNAcentral lists this ribosomal RNA (633 nucleotides) under uncultured fungus. Its description in RNAcentral is "eukaryotic LSU rRNA". The stretch from base 179 to 332 matches the Rfam family "5.8S ribosomal RNA". Lineage: Eukaryota; Fungi. The record is from RNAcentral.
UCCUGCGGAAGGAUCAUUCACAAUAAGUGUUUUAUGGCACUUUUUCAAUCCAUAUCCACCUUGUGUGCAAUGUUGUCUUGUAGUGCGAAUGCUUGUCAUUUGCGCUACAGGAUGUAAACAUCAACUCUUAUCUUUAACAACUUUGUCUAAAACCUGUAUGAAUACUUAAUUCAAAUACAACUUUCAACAACGGAUCUCUUGGCUCUCGCAUCGAUGAAGAACGCAGCGAAAUGCGAUACGUAAUGUGAAUUGCAGAAUUCAGUGAAUCAUCGAAUCUUUGAACGCAUAUUGCGCUCUCUGGUAUUCCGGAGAGCAUGCUUGUUUGAGUAUCAGUAAACACCUCAAAUCCCUCUACUUGUUGGAGGAAUUUGGACUUGAGCAAUCCCAACUUUUCGAAAGAGAAGGCGGGUUGCUUGAAAUGCAGGUGCAGCUAGAUUCUUUCUUCUGAGCUAUAAGCAUACUUAUUUAAUCCCGUCAAACGGAUUAUUACUUUUGCUGCAGCUAACAUAAAGGUUGAAGAGUCGCUAUGGCUGACUGAUGCAGGAUUUAACAUUUCGCGCAAGCGAUUUGUAAACUCGAUCUCAAAUCAAGCAAGACUACCCGCUGAACUUAAGCUCAUCAAUAAGCGGAGGA